RNAcentral lists this long non-coding RNA (2726 nucleotides) under Heterocephalus glaber (naked mole-rat). RNAcentral describes it as "lncRNA (ENSHGLG00100049221.1)". Lineage: Eukaryota; Metazoa; Chordata; Mammalia; Rodentia; Bathyergidae. The record is from RNAcentral.
AGCUUGUCAAACUCAGCCAGCUCCUGUCACUCCUGGGGUGGCUGGAGCUUGGAUGUCGUCACCUCUGAGCAGGGGCAGGGCAGUUUCUCCUUCCAACCUUUCUCUCAGAGCAGAGAGAGCAGUGGAAUGAAGGUCCCACGAGGCCCACCAGCCCCAGGGGCCGCCCGGGGGCGAGGGAUCGAACUUGGGACCUUCUGCUUGUGAGGCAGAUGGUGGAACUGUAAGACCGAGGGCCUUACCAAAUGCUCUGAGGAGCUGACUGUAGUGAAGCACACCCAGGGAUCCCAGCGGUGCCUCCAGAAUGUAAGACCGAGGGCCUUACCAAACGCUCCGAGGAGCUGACUGCAGCGACGAACACCCGGGAAGGAACACACCGGACACGUUGGAAAGUUGGGCAACCACGAAGUUAACCAUUUGAACAAGUCCCCGUCAUCCUCAUUAUAUAUUCUUUGAGCCAGAUCUUCUAAUUGUUUUACCUUUUCUUCGAUCUUUGGACCAUUAUCGGUAAGAUUGAAACAACACAUAUUUUUUACUCUUUCACAACCUUGGUGGUGGAGGAGCAACAAAUAGUCUAUUGCUGUUCUAUUAUCUAAGAUUGCCUGUCUCUGUUCCUGUAACUCUUGGUUAAUUAAUGACAAGGCUGAUGAGCUAGCAUUUAACCCUUUGACCACCUUGCAAGCUAAUUUUCAUACUGCCUUUUCAGCAUGGACUCCUAUAGAAGGCAGGGCAACAAAAGAUGCUAUCAUGGUUAUUACUUCAGCAUCUGUUAACAGACCUACGUCAUCAUCGCAUCCUGGUGCAGUGUAAGGUGACCAACGUUUAGUUCUGUUAGGCACAAUCAAAUCAGUUCUGUCUGGCAACACUACAGCUAGACGACUCAAACAGCAACGGGUCUUGGUUAAAUUUGCUGGAAUAUAAUUAAAGGUUAUCCCUUCACAGGUAUAAAGCCAUCCUGUGGGCAGGGAGAUAUGGCAAUUGUUAUACACAAUUUUUUGUUUUAUAUGGCAGGACAUCCCUUUUGACCAUUUUAUCCGCAGACAUUUGGUUGUGCAAUUUUCAUACAUAGCACAUUCAGUUUUGUUUGACAUAAUUACCUUGGGUGUAUAUAAUUUGACAGCAUUUUUAGGUUUACAGCAGGUGUCAUGCCCCCAAUUUUAACUAUCCAGGUAAGUAAGAUUUUUUUCCUGGGAUGUCUUUAAAUAGGGUAUAGGGUCGUAUUAAUUCUAAAGAGGUGCAUACCGGAAUGAGACAGCUUCCCAGCACAUAAUGGAAAUUUACAUCAACAUUUAAGCAGAAUUCAGACAAGUUAAGCGAGUUUGCCAAUUGAAUCCAUACAUUUUUUUGUGUGAUCUAGUCCUCUUGGGGGCAAUACUGCCAGUGUCCCAGAGAAUAUUAUCAUUAAGGUGAAACAUCUCCAACCCGUUCCAGUCUUAGCUUUUGGUCGCCUGGUUGGCUGAUAACCUUCCAUUUGUCCUUUUUGACAUCCAUGGGGGGUCCUGCUUUCAGAUGGUUGCGAUGUAUCCAGGCAGAAUGUCCAGCCACCUUCACCGCCAAGGGAGCUGACAGGACAGCAGGAACCGGUCCCUUCCAACGAGGUUCCAGGGUCUUGGAAUCAAACCUCCGGAGGUUUUCUGAGGUCUGUGCCUGAGUCUCCUGCUGGAUCCCGCCACAGAGUCUUGGCUGAACGGGGGUCCCUUACCCGGGGAUCUCGCUGGGGCCUCCAAAAUGUAAGACUGAGGGCCUUACCAAACGCUCCGAGGAGCUGACUAUAGUGAAGCACACCCAGGGAUCCCAGCGGUGCCUUCAGAAUGAAAGACCAAGGGCCUUACCAAACGCUCCGAGGAGCUGACUGCAGCGAAGAACACCUGAGAAGGAACACACCGGACACGUUGGAAAGUAAAACAGACCUUUAUUAGUCUGGCCAGACGGCACUCCCAAAGCAAAAUAGCUUAGAGAGGCAGCUAGCUCAGAGUCCGAGGCUGUUUUUAUAGGGGGUUGAGGGGGAGUUAACAUAUAGAAUUAAAGAAAAGGGGACAAAGGUUAGUGGUCGACUGUCACGUAUUGAUGGUCAGCAGACAUUUGCAGCUUGUUCUAAAAAUUGUGGUGCUCGGAACAUCAGUUCCGGGCAAACAAGGAAUUGAGUAGUUUACUUUGGGACUUUAGGUCUGUUACAGAUUUUUAUCUAGUGUCCCAAAACUAACAAGCAUCUUUAUCUCUUAACUCACAUUUAAUCACAAUGGGGCUGGAGAAAAGGAACAAAGGUUAUGCAGUCCCACAGAACCACUGAGCUAAAUCCCCGGCCCUGAAAUGUUUUGAAUACGACCAUGUGUGAUACAUACAAGUAGAUCAGAAUAUUCUAAAAUGAUUCCACAGGUCUCUAGGAUCAUUGACAGUGAGUGAAGAGAAUCUAACAGUAAUAGCAGCAGCUAAUAUUCAUUCAGUGUUUGGUUUGUGCCAAGCACUAGGUCCUGGUUCUGAGUGCUUCCCUGUAAGAUCUCAUGUAACCCUCACCUCAAGGCAAUGAGGUGGGAACAGUUAUGGUACCCUUGUGUAUGUGGGGCCCCUGGACACUUGGAGGUUAAGUGCCUUGCUCCUGGUCACCUGAUGAGUCUGUCUGGCCCCCUAGCCUACGGUCUUUACCUUCCCCUUCGAGGCUCGUUGUCAUUCAGUCUGUAUCCUUUGAUACAUUAUAUAUGGAAACAUAAUAAAAUGACCUAUGUAUACUC